Molecule: transfer RNA, 77 nt
Filed under: Arcobacter sp. 31_11_sub10_T18
Lineage: Bacteria; Pseudomonadati; Campylobacterota; Epsilonproteobacteria; Campylobacterales; Arcobacteraceae
Also listed under: 5 other names
Description: tRNA-Met
Rfam family: tRNA
About the family: Transfer RNA (tRNA) molecules are approximately 80 nucleotides in length. Their secondary structure includes four short double-helical elements and three loops (D, anti-codon, and T loops). Further hydrogen bonds mediate the characteristic L-shaped molecular structure. tRNAs have two regions of fundamental functional importance: the anti-codon, which is responsible for specific mRNA codon recognition, and the 3' end, to which the tRNAs corresponding amino acid is attached (by aminoacyl-tRNA synthetases). tRNAs cope with the degeneracy of the genetic code in two manners: having more than one tRNA (with a specific anti-codon) for a particular amino acid; and 'wobble' base-pairing, i.e. permitting non-standard base-pairing at the 3rd anti-codon position.
Source: RNAcentral
CGCGGAAUAGAGCAGCUCGGUAGCUCGUCGGGCUCAUAACCCGAAGGUCACAGGUUCAAAUCCUGUUUCCGCAACCA